AAAAAAGCGAUGAAGGGAAGAGUAGAUACAGGAUGUAGUUACAGCGAGCUGGUGACGGUGGAAGACCAGUACGAUGCCUGUAUUGAAGAACAUCCCUUAGCUCCCAACCGAAAUCUUUUUAGAGAGUAGACUUGGGCGGAGAACUCUACCGUUAAAAGGAGUACAGUAUCGAGCUCGUCUCUGUACUGAAAGAGGGCCUUUUGCCAAUUUGGGUGGUACCGCGGAAGUUAACCUUUCGUCCCAUUU
Molecule: non-coding RNA, 246 nt
Filed under: Thermobrachium celere
Lineage: Bacteria; Bacillati; Bacillota; Clostridia; Eubacteriales; Clostridiaceae
Description: T-box sequence
Rfam family: T-box leader
About the family: Uncharged tRNA acts as the effector for transcription antitermination of genes in the T-box leader family. T-boxes are found upstream of many aminoacyl-tRNA synthetase genes and some amino acid biosynthetic genes usually in Gram-positive bacteria. The anticodon of a specific tRNA base pairs to a specifier sequence within the T-box motif, and the NCCA acceptor tail of the tRNA base pairs to a conserved bulge in the T-box antiterminator hairpin.
Source: RNAcentral